Molecule: non-coding RNA, 148 nt
Filed under: Gorilla gorilla gorilla (western lowland gorilla)
Lineage: Eukaryota; Metazoa; Chordata; Mammalia; Primates; Hominidae
Source: Rfam by way of RNAcentral
GCCGGGUGUGGUGGCUCACGCCUGUACUCCCAGCUACUUGGGAGGCUGAGGCAGGAGAAUCGCUUGAGCCUGGGAGGCAGAGGUUGCAGUGAGCUGAGAUCAUGCCACUGCACUCCAGCCUGGGCAACAGAGUGAGACUAUGUCUCAA